AUACAGAGGGUGCGAGCGUUAAUCGGAAUUACUGGGCGUAAAGCGCGCGUAGGCGGCUUGGUCAGUCGGAUGUGAAAGCCCCGGGCUCAACCUGGGAAUGGCAUUCGAUACUGCCAGGCUAGAGUAUGGGAGAGGGAAGUGGAAUUUCCGGUGUAGCGGUGAAAUGCGUAGAUAUCGGAAGGAACACCAGUGGCGAAGGCGACUUCCUGGCCCAAUACUGACGCUGAGGUGCGAAAGCGUGGGGAGCGAACAGGAUUAGAUACCCCUGUAGUCC
Molecule: ribosomal RNA, 274 nt
Filed under: uncultured bacterium
Lineage: Bacteria
Description: partial 16S ribosomal RNA
Rfam family: Bacterial small subunit ribosomal RNA
Source: RNAcentral